Molecule: long non-coding RNA, 2847 nt
Filed under: Sus scrofa (pig)
Lineage: Eukaryota; Metazoa; Chordata; Mammalia; Artiodactyla; Suidae
Description: lncRNA (ENSSSCG00000059874.1)
Source: RNAcentral
GUUACUUUUGGUAUCUGAUUGUCAUUAUCAUAUUUCCUAUUAUAAAAGCCAAGGUACAAGAUCAGACACAUAUGAAUACAAUAAUACUCUCAAAACCCAAAACAAAAACCAUCCUAGACUCUCCAGUCAUGUCACAUAAUAUCACAAUUCACAGAAGGAAGCAGAAAAUUAGAAUAUGUACCAAGGCUGGUCUAAAAACUUGACUGUGAUUUAUUUCUACGAAUAGGAAUCCCUAACAGAUAUGAGUUAUGGUUAUAUAAGCAGGAGAACAGAUAUCAUGAAAUCUUUCUUUCUUGUUUUAAAUGAUUUGUGUGUUUCCUACCCUAUUUAAAUCUAACAGAACAAAGCAAUUUAGUCUUCACAGUCAACUACGAAUUUAAAGAAUCUUUAAAGCUACUGAAAUGUUUACUAGUCCAUUGUAUUUAUUUAUUUAUUUAUUUGUCUUGUCUUUUUACCCAGGCUAGGGGUCUAAUCAGAGCUCAGCUGCCAGCCUACACCACAGCCACAGCAAUGCCAGACCCGAGUCAUGUCUGCGGCCUACACCACAGCUCCUGGCAAGGCCGGAUCCUUAACCUACUGAGUGAGGCCAGGGAUCGAACCCACAACCUCAUGGUUCCCAGUCGGAUUCGUUUCCACUGUGCCACAACGGGAAGUCCAAGAGAACAUCCAGCAUAAGACACAGCUCAGGACCAAGAAUUAUUCCUCUUCCAAUGUCCCCAACCCAAAUAGCAUUUCUUUGCUACGUAGGUGCCUCAGACUUAACCUUCUAAAAUCAAACUCUUUAUUGCUGCCUUUCCCUAAACUCAUGAUACCACCAAAUAAUGACUAACCAAACUCACCCAAAUUCUGAAUUUAUCUUCCUUUUUUUUUUUUUUAUUGGAAAACAACAUCCUGAUAUAUCUAGAAGCCUAAGCCAGAUGCAUCAGUUUACAGUAGCACGAGCUAGAGAAGGCCUGGUAUCCCACAGAGAAGAUGGUCACAGAGGAAGGGAAUCAUGAUUGCAGGGAAGACAUGCACAAACCUCCAUCUCCACUGGGACUUUGGCUGUGAUAAAAUACAUAUGCAAGCAAAGAAAAGAUAAAUAAAUACCCUUCAGAGGAUGAGAGGAAGAGCUUUACACUUUUACUCAAAAAGUUUUUAAUGUUACUAUUACAAAGAGCUUUUAAUUAAAAAUACAGGAAGAUUAGGACUGCAGUGCAUUCUAGAUGACUAAAACAAAAGGUUUAGCGGACAUUUUGAUAUAAUGGAACGACCCCCAAGUCUAAGUAAUGGGUUUGCAACUUGGUUCCAUGUAUUACUAGCUAUGUGACUUCCACAAGUUAUUUGAUGUCUCUCCAACUCCUUCAGUUUCUUUAAUCUGUAAAACUGGUAUCACAAUACAGCACCUACUCUAUAAAAUUAAAUGCCAUCAUUGGUGUGAAGCACUGAACAGAAAGUAUAGUACAAAGAGUGUGGAUGCAUGAUAAAGGGCACAUGAUGUUCCUAUGAUCACCAUGGUUAUCAGUACCUCUGCUUCCAGCUGGCAGCAGCAGCAGCAUCCUAUGUGAGUAAAUAGGAUCGGAAGAAAAAAAAAUUGUAAGUCUCCUAUCCUUCAGUUGAAGCUCAAGCACGCUAUUCAGUGGAUCGUGUUGGCUUUCCUUUGUAACUUUUCUUUGCUUAUCAAUCUUGUUUUCUCCCUCCUUUUAUCUUUACUCAUGGCCCCAGGGCCAAAAUAUGCCUUUUUCUCCAUACUUAUAUUGAGAGAUCUUUGAAGACACAAAAAACCAGAGAUAUUUGUUGAAGGGAUAACACAGUUAUCAUCUGAUCUAGGCAUAGUCAGUCCUGGCUUAAGGAUAGGAAAUGUUUCCUCCAUUUCAAUUGAAAUUAAUAGGACCCCAAAUGUCACAUGUACAUUGCAUGUGUAAUAGAUGUCUGAAUUCAACAUGAAAAUUAAAUAUACAAAUGGAUAGGACUACAACCUAGAGAGUUUUCCCGAGCAAGGUGGAGGUAGGAGUAGAGAUUUGCUAAUUCUUGACAUAGAUGGAUUUUAUCUGAAUUAUAAAAGUAUUAUUGAAUUAUGAAUAUAUAGUGUCUAGAGAGACUGGAUAUUGUUUCAAUGUAAAAUGGGUUUCAAAUCCUAGAAGAUAUAAAUAAUAUUACUUUUUAAAAUGAAAUGGAGCAGUGAGGAUAAUCAAAGACAUACAUAAAUUUAAGAGCAUCAUGUAUUUAUCAGUGAUGUUUUAAAAGCCAAAAUAAAUCUCAACAAAUCGCAGCAAUGGAGAAAAAAAAAAAAGAAGAAAUCCAAAGAAGCAUGUCUACUAAACACACCUUGGGUGUCAAACAUUAUGCUUGAUAUAUAUUCAUUUAUUCUUUUUUUUUUUUCCUUUUACAGCCUCACCUGCAGCAUAUGGCCACACCAGAUCCUAAACUUACUGAGCGAGGCCAGCCAUCAAACCCUCAUCCUCACAGAGACAUCAGGUCCUUAAUUCACUGAGCCACACCUGGAAUUCCCAUAUUCAUGUAUUCUUAAAUCAAUCCCAGAAAUUCAUCCCCACCUGCUAUUCCAGGUUUAGAUUAAGUAAUACAUGCAAAUUAAUAUGAUUUGGGGGCCAGAGUAAAUACUCCAAACUUCCAGGUGCAAUUAUUUUUUAAUCAAUGCUAUUUUUCUGUAUAGAAAUGAGACUAUCUCACAAUGGUAAGGCCACAGAAAUGACUCUGGAUUGGAAUGAAAAGUCUGUCUUUCCCUUAGGCAAAAAUUUUCCUAAUGUAAAACUGUUUUGAGUGUUCUCACCUCAGUUUUUCCAAAUCAUCCUAAUUAGAAGAUACAAUAAAUUUCACAAAAUUAAGCCUACGACAUAAUGCGAAACA